RNAcentral lists this ribosomal RNA (439 nucleotides) under uncultured bacterium. RNAcentral's name for it is "partial 16S ribosomal RNA". It matches the Rfam family "Bacterial small subunit ribosomal RNA", at positions 338 to 795 of the family's 1533-position model. The record is from RNAcentral.
CCUACGUGAGGCAGCAGUAGGGAAUUUUGCGCAAUGGGGGAAACCCUGACGCAGCAACACCGCGUGAAUGUUAAGCCCUACGGGGGGUAAAGUUCUGUCAAUAGGGACGAAUUUUAACUGUCCCUAUAAAGGAAGCACCGGCUAACUCCGUGCCAGCAGCCGCGGGAAUACGUAGGGAGCGAGCGUUAUCCGGAAUUAUUGGGCGUAAAGGGUGCGUAGAUGGCAUAGUAAGUCUUUUGUAAAAAUGCUGGGCUCAACCAAGUAGGGCAAAAGAUACUGCAAAGCUAGAGUAUGACAGAGGCAAGUGGAACUACAUGUGUAGCGGUAAAAUGCGUAAAUAUAUGUAAGAACACCAGUGGCGAAGGCGGCUUGCUGGGUCGAUACUGACAUUGAGGCACGAAAGCGUGGGGAGCAAACAGGAUUAGAUACCCCGGUAGUC